GGAGGCUUGCGGUUUAAUUGGAUCAACGCCGGAAAUCUUACCGGGACCGACAGCAAUAUGAAGGCCAGGCUGAAGACUUUGCCGGAUUAGCUGAGAGGUGGUGCAUGGCCGUCGUCAGUUCGUACUGUGAAGCAUCCUGUUAAGUCAGGCAACGAGCGAGACCCACGCCCACAGUUGCCAGCGUACUCUCUGGAGUGACGGGUACACUGUGGGGACCGCCGCUGCUAAAGCGGAGGAAGGAAUGGGCAACGGUAGGUCAGUAUGCCCCGAAUAUCCCGGGCUACACGCGAGCUACAAUGGUUGGUACAAUGGGUAUCUACCCCGAAAGGGGACGGGAAUCUCCUAAAACCAAUCUUAGUUCGGAUUGAGGGCUGCAACUCGCCCUCAUGAAGCUGGAAUCCGUAGUAAUCGCGUUUCAACAGAACGCGGUGAAUACGUCCCUGCUCCUU
This 449-nucleotide ribosomal RNA is filed under the name uncultured Methanosaeta sp. Its description in RNAcentral is "bacterial SSU rRNA". It matches the Rfam family "Archaeal small subunit ribosomal RNA", at positions 889 to 1338 of the family's 1478-position model. Lineage: Archaea; Methanobacteriati; Methanobacteriota; Methanomicrobia; Methanotrichales; Methanotrichaceae. The record is from RNAcentral.